CUGCGAGUUCGCGGGAGAGUAAGUUAUUGCCAGGGUUUUUCUUUUAUACUUUAAACAUUGAUUUUAUUUUUUAUGUUUUUAGAUGUUUAUAUUAUUUGAAUAAAACAUUCAAAUAAUAUAAAAAAUAAAAUAUAUAUAUUGACAUGGAUUAAACAAAGAUAUAUAUUAUUCUAUGUUGUAUAAACAAAUUGGCAAAAUAGAGAUGGAAGAUAAAAAUAUGGUCAAAGUAAUAAGAGUCUAUGGUGAAUGCCUAGGA
RNAcentral lists this unclassified non-coding RNA (256 nucleotides) under Borreliella garinii. RNAcentral's name for it is "partial 5S-23S ribosomal RNA intergenic spacer". Lineage: Bacteria; Pseudomonadati; Spirochaetota; Spirochaetia; Spirochaetales; Borreliaceae. The record is from RNAcentral.